AUUGAACGCUGGCGGAUUGCUUUACACAUGCAAGUCGAACGGCAGCACGGACUUCGGUCUGGUGGCGAGUGGCGAACGGGUGAGUAAUGUAUCGGAACGUGCCCAGUCGUGGGGGAUAACGUAGUGAAAAUUACGCUAAUACCGCAUACGAUCUAUGGAUGAAAGCGGGGGAUCGCAAGACCUCGCGCGAUUGGAGCGGCCGAUAUCAGAUUAGGUAGUUGGUGGGGUAAAGGCCCACCAAGCCAACGAUCUGUAGCUGGUCUGAGAGGGCGACCAGCAACACUGGAACUGGGACACGGUCCAGACUCCGACGGGAGGCAGCAGUGGGGAAUUUUGGACAAUGGGCGAAAGCCUGAUCCAGCCAUUCCGCGUGCAGGAUGAAGGCCCUCGGGUUGUAAACUGCUUUUGUACAGAACGAAAAGGUUUCUACUAAUACUAGGAGCUCAUGACGGUACUGUAAGAAUAAGCACCGGCUAACUACGUGCCAGCAGCCGCCGUAA
RNAcentral lists this ribosomal RNA (500 nucleotides) under uncultured bacterium. RNAcentral's name for it is "partial 16S ribosomal RNA". It matches the Rfam family "Bacterial small subunit ribosomal RNA", at positions 30 to 523 of the family's 1533-position model. The record is from RNAcentral.